UGACAUGUCUUCAGCCAGGAGCGGUUCUA
RNAcentral lists this non-coding RNA (29 nucleotides) under Mus musculus (house mouse). The record is from RNAcentral. Lineage: Eukaryota; Metazoa; Chordata; Mammalia; Rodentia; Muridae.